Manis javanica (Malayan pangolin) is the source of this 2279-nucleotide non-coding RNA. The record is from RefSeq and is a predicted model, not a curated record. NCBI's taxonomy places the organism in Eukaryota, Metazoa, Chordata, Mammalia, Pholidota, Manidae.
GAGUAUUUGAAAUGAGUUCCUGUUGAUGGCAUGGAACCAGAGCCCUAGGCUCCGAAAUUGGAGAGGAGCAGACUGCAGCUGGGCCCAAAGCAGACCUUUCUCUCUAGCUGAACAGAGACACUGAGCUCGAUCUCUACAGGUCUGUGCAGACUCCCACUGCCCUGAUCUGCCCAGACUUCAGCAGCUCUUCCUCUCUACUUAGCAGCACAAGAGGCCGAGUGAAGAGAGGGGCCAGAGGCGUAGCAUUCUGAUUCAGAGGGUCCGUCAUUUCCCUCAGGACCCACAGCUUUGUCUUCCAAAGAGUACCCAGGUGGUGCACCCCAUGCGUGGAGCUUUGAGACUCCUGGAAAAUGGAGUGAAAGUAAUGGAGGCGGCCGGUUGCAUUCUGUUCCCUCUACACACUUCUCCCUAAUGUACUCUCCCCACUUUCCCUCAUGGAAAUACUGAGUUUGUCCUAAACGGCUAUCUUUGGCUUGGACAGAGAAUUGGCCUAUUUCAGCUUUCUGGGUUACUCUCUGGACCCUGUAGUCCAGGCUCCUCACACUCACUCACUCACCUUGCUUAACAUUUUUGGUACCAUUGGCUUUCCUCCCCCAUUUUAUUGUGGGUGUUCCCUUUUUUUUUCCCCCUCUUAGAUCUUCAAUCUCAGAUGAAGCAGUUGGUGAAUUUUAGUCUUUGCAGAAGUUAACUAUUUAUUAUUAGUCAGUGUCUUUGUUUUGCUGACCAAGCUCACUUUUCCUCAGUGAAUUAAGAUGACCUUCAUCUCUAAUGAAUAUGUCAGGUGUGUGUAUCAUGCACACAUUGUGGCAGAAUGGUGUGAGGAAUGUCAUGUGCUUUGUGUGUAUAAAUUCUUUAAUGUGUGACUGAUCUGUUGUUUGCACAUUUGAAUAUGGGAUAGUUUUGUGUGUGUGAGAGUGGUAUUUGUGCUUUGUGUCUGUGUUUUAGGUCAGCACGUAUCUAUGUGUGCAGACUGUGUGUCCUACGAUUAUGCAUUUGUGUGCGUGUUUCACAUGUUAGGUGGCUUAGUUGUGCAACAGGAUUAUUGGGAGUAUUCUCUUUGAGACUAGUGUAAGGUAACAGUGAAAGUGCAGAAGGAUCUGAAAAAUCAAUGGCUGUAAGGGAAAGAAUAUAUGAGUUUUCAAUAUAGAACUGUUUGAAGAUCCAAAGUAAAUGAGGGCACAGGACAGAGAGUGCAAGAAUAAAUGUAGAGUAGCAUGUGAUUGAUUGCUUUACAAAGUAAAAUCUUGAAAGAUUGAGGUUUAAGGCAUUGGGAUGGAAUAUGAACACUAAAGCCUAGCCCUCUGACUCUGAGGCAUUCACCAAUUAGAAAUAUGUCCAUAUAGCAAAAUACAUGUAAUAGAAUUUUCAGAGUACCCCCAGAUUGAAAGUACCCAAAAUGCUCAUAAAGUAUAAUUAAUAAAGACAGUAUUUAUAUGCAGAAGGAUGAAGGGACUACAGUCACAUAUAUCAUGGAUGAUUAUUACAAACACAAGUACAGAGAGUGAAAAGAAGUUGACACAAAGCAUGUACUGUGCACUUGUGUUCACGUAACAUUAAAACACAGGGACAACUAGUGCAGCACUUUUGUAUGGUUGGGACAAAAGCAGAGUAGAGAACUCAGAUGCAUGUGGAAGAUGACAAGGAAGUAAAAGAUGAGGAUAGCGGGGUGCAGAUGGGUCUGUAUAGGGUUGAACUUGCGAACAUCGGCUAUGAAAAGAUACUGCUGUGCUGGGGUCUCGGACCAGGUAUGCCUCUACUCAGGUCAGGACCUAAGGAUCCUACCGUGUUGGGCCUGCUUUAGGCUGUUAGUGCUGUCACACCUUCCUGGUAAUAUAACCUGUCCUUGCCCAGCUCAUACUGACAUGUUCUUCCAUGUUCCUCUGAUAGAACUCAUCCCCUUAGGCCCUCUUGCACCAUUUCUUCAAAUAACUCACUGCCCUCCCCUUGUCUCCUUGGGCUCGCUCCAAUCCUUCGAAGUAUUUUCCCUUGGGAUUUACUAUUUCCAAUGGGGAUUAUAUUAAUGAAGAUGGAGAAGCAUUUUGAGUUUCUUUCUGUACUGGGCAGCCUUGUACUGACUGAUGAGCAGAAUCACUCAGCUCAUCUCUGGGCUCUGCCUAGGUCCCCACUGUCUAUUGCAUCCCAUUCAGUAGUCCCUUCUUACCAGGGCCAGGAAGCUUUUCCAUUGCUUUGUGGCCUUGGUUUGGGGCCACUGUCCUGUGUCCAUGCUGUAGAGCUGCUUUUGUAGAAAAAUUAAAUAAAAAUGAUAGAUGUGGUCCGUG